CUAAGGCACAGCCCUGCGGUUUUCCAAAGGUGCAGUACGGCGAGUGUUGGAUUAUCCGGUCUGGAUGGAGCAAAACCAAAAUAUAGGCUGGGCGUGUCCCUGCGUUCGAACCCUUGGACUCGCGUAUAAAAGGCUCUGCUGGGGUGUAUCUUCCAACCAUUUAACCUCUUCCUCAGUCUGGCUUAAAGGAUUUGGAGACGACCUCCCUCUGGGAAGCAGACAGAUAAGCAAAGAAGUCUUUGGAGAAAUGGACUCUACUUGGUGAUUCCGUCUAAACAUAAGAAAAACUGUUUAGACGGAAAUUUUGAGUCUUUAAAGAUAGGCCUGGGAGAGGUUGGCAGAUGGUGACAAUUACUCUUCAAAUACAGCUGGUGGCUGUCAGCGCCUUCCUGCAUUUGGAGAACUUGGGGAAGUUACACCACUUUGUAAUGUCAAAGUUUAUCUACAGUUGUGCUUGGUAUUUUGUUUCACUAGUAUUUCUAUCAUUCAGACGCUGCUUGGACAUUUUGAAGUAGUUGUGGAGAAUGAGUGAUGUUUUUAAUGGUUUUUUUUUUAAUGAGUAUGUUUAUGUAGUAAACAUUACUACAUAAAAUUAACCAUUUUAUAGGGAGUAAUUCAGUGGCAAUUAAUACAUUCAGUAUGCUGUGCAACCACCACUUCUACCUACUUCCGAAUUAUUUUAUCAGCCCAGAAGAAAAGGAAACCCUGUGCCCAUUAAGCAAUUAUUCCUCAUUCCCCCAUUCACCCCAGCUUCUGGCAACUGGCAAUCUGCCUAUAUGGAUUUACAGAUUCUGGAUUUCUGAUUGGUCAUCUUUUGCCCCCAGCAGCUGUGGGUCUUCCUUUGCCUUACACCGUUGACUGCAAUCUGAGUCAAAUAGACAAGUACUUAUAACUGGAAUCAGUCUUGCUGAUAGCCCCAGACAUGUCAGAACAAACACAAGACUGUGAGAAGGAGGGCUGCUCUCCCAGGAACCAAAGACCAGGGCCCCAUCCUGAGGACACAGGCUGCUAUCUUCAAGACCUGCCGCGCUGGGGAAGGAGAUGAAGGAAGGGCACGGAAACACAGAGCUUUCCUGCCAUGUUCGUGUUACUUUUAUUCUGAUUGUGCAUCUGCUUGGUUGGCAUAAAUCUUUUCCAGGGUUUGUAUAAA
Phyllostomus hastatus (greater spear-nosed bat) is the source of this 1150-nucleotide long non-coding RNA. RefSeq lists it as uncharacterized. The transcript has 3 exons. The record is from RefSeq and is a predicted model, not a curated record. Lineage: Eukaryota; Metazoa; Chordata; Mammalia; Chiroptera; Phyllostomidae.